UUUCAUCGUACCAAUUUGAAAGGUUUGAAUCAAUCAUGCUACAAAUCAAAAUUUGGAUAAUAUCUAUACAAUUUUGAAUUUUUUUUAACAAUUAUCACAUUUUUAUACUUUGUACACUCACUUCGAUUGAUACUUUCUUUGUAUUUGAUGAAGCUACCAAACACCUGGACUGUUGACUUUUAAUUCAAUGCAAAAAUAUCUUCCCAAACGACAGCCCAAAAUUAUGGACAAAACGCACAACAUAAAUACCUAAACAAUCUGAUCCGAUUGGUUUGUUUAGCGAAAACUCCGAUCACCGGGUAAAAUUCCGGUGCCGGAGAUUUACCCGGUGAAAUUAUAGUAACCCAUGGAUUCCCCAGAGAUUCGUGAGGAAGAGCUGGAGAAAAUGAAUAAAAAUAGUCUCGGUUACAGAGUUUUCCGUUCCUGUUUUGCCCUUGCCUUUUGUGGACUGUUGACUUUUAAUUCAAUGCAAAAAUAUCUUCCCAAACGACAGCCCAAAAUUAUGGACAAAACGCACAACAUAAAUACCUAAACAAUCUGAUCCGAUUGGUUUGUUUAGCGAAAACUCCGAUCACCGGGUAAAAUUCCGGUGCCGGAGAUUUACCCGGUGAAAUUAUAGUAACCCAUGGAUUCCCCAGAGAUUCGUGAGGAAGAGCUGGAGAAAAUGAAUAAAAAUA
This 677-nucleotide long non-coding RNA is filed under the name Olea europaea (common olive). Its description in RNAcentral is "long non-coding RNA (OEUR_LNC002805)". Lineage: Eukaryota; Viridiplantae; Streptophyta; Magnoliopsida; Lamiales; Oleaceae. The record is from RNAcentral.